AGGAGACGCUGGCGGCGUGCUUAAUACAUGCAAGUCGAGCGAGGUUACUGGAGUGGAGCCCUUCGGGGUGAAGCUGCUUUAACCUAGCGGCGGACGGGUGAGUAACGCGUGGGUAACCUACCCCAAAGUCCGGGAUAACAGCGGGAAACCGCUGCUAAUACCGGAUGCCUUUACCUUGGGGCAUCUUGAGGUAAAGAAAGGCAACGCUUUGGGAUGGGCCCGCGUCCCAUUAGCUAGUUGGUGAGGUAACGGCUCACCAAGGCGACGAUGGGUAGCCGGCCUGAGAGGGUGGACGGCCACACUGGGACUGAGACACGGCCCAGACUCCUACGGGAGGCAGCAGUAGGGAAUAUUGCGCAAUGGACGGAAGUCUGACGCAGCGACGCCGCGUGAGCGAUGAAGGCCUUCGGGUCGUAAAGCUCUGUCCUUGGGGAAGAAGGCGAAAGCUUGACGGUACCCAAGAAGAAAGCCCCGGCUAACUACGUG
Molecule: ribosomal RNA, 486 nt
Filed under: uncultured bacterium
Lineage: Bacteria
Description: bacterial SSU rRNA
Rfam family: Bacterial small subunit ribosomal RNA
Source: RNAcentral